This 640-nucleotide ribosomal RNA is filed under the name uncultured bacterium. Its description in RNAcentral is "bacterial SSU rRNA". It matches the Rfam family "Bacterial small subunit ribosomal RNA", at positions 202 to 842 of the family's 1533-position model. The record is from RNAcentral.
GAAAGAUUCAUCGGAAGAGGAUGGGCAUGCGGCGCAUUAGCUUGACGGCGGGGUAACGGCCCACCGUGGCGACGAUGCGUAGGGGUUCUGAGAGGAAGGUCCCCCACACUGGUACUGAGACACGGACCAGACUCCUACGGGAGGCAGCAGUGAGGAAUAUUGGUCAAUGGGAGAGAUCCUGAACCAGCCAAGCCGCGUGAGGGAAGACGGCCCUAUGGGUUGUAAACCUCUUUUGUCGGAGAACAAAACCCGGGACGUGUCCCGGACUGCGUGUAUCCGAAGAAAAAGCAUCGGCUAACUCCGUGCCAGCAGCCGCGGUAAUACGGAGGAUGCGAGCGUUAUCCGGAUUUAUUGGGUUUAAAGGGUGCGUAGGCGGUCUGUUAAGUCAGCGGUAAAAUUGCGGGGCUCAACCCCGUCGAGCCGUUGAAACUGGCAGACUUGAGUUGGCGAGAAGUACGCGGAAUGCGCGGUGUAGCGGUGAAAUGCAUAGAUAUCGCGCAGAACUCCGAUUGCGAAGGCAGCGUACCGGCGCCAGACUGACGCUGAGGCACGAAAGCGUGGGGAUCGAACAGGAUUAGAUACCCUGGUAGUCCACGCAGUAAACGAUGAAUGCUGGUUGUCCGGGUCGAAUGAGACCUGG